GAUGAACGCUAGCGGCAGGCUUAACACAUGCAAGUCGAGGGGCAGCGCGGGGCAGCAAUGUUCUGGCGGCGACCGGCGGAAGGGUGCGUAACGCGUGAGCGACAUGCCCGUUGCCCGGGGACAACCGGUGGAAACGCCGACUAAUCCCCGAUGGGACGGAGGCCCUCAUGGGUCUCCGUUGAAAGUUACGGCGGCGACGGAUUGGCUCGCGUCCGAUUAGCUUGUUGGCGGGGUAACGGCCCACCAAGGCUACGAUCGGUAGGGGUUCUGAGAGGAAGGUCCCCCACAAUGGAACUGAGACACGGUCCAUACUCCUACGGGAGGCAGCAGUGAGGAAUAUUGGUCAAUGGGCGGAAGCCUGAACCAGCCAUGCCGCGUGCGGGAAGGAGGCCCUAUGGGCUGUGAACCGCUUUUGCCUGGGGGCAAUAAGGGCGUCGUGCACGUCCGAUGAGAGUACCAGGCGAAUAAGCAUCGGCUAACUCCGUGCCAGCAGCCGCGGUAAUACGGGGGAUGCGAGCGUUAUCCGGAUUCAUUGGGUUUAAAGGGUGCGUAGGCUGUGCGUCAAGUCAGGGGUGAAAUUCCGGGGCUCAACUCCGGGGCUGCCCUUGAUACUGUCGCGCUGGAGUGCGGAUGCCGCCGGAGGAAUGAGUGGUGUAGCGGUGAAAUGCUUAGAUAUCACUCAGAACACCGAUUGCGAAGGCAUCUGGCGAAUCCGUAACUGACGCUGAGGCACGAAAGCGUGGGGAUAGAACAGGAUUAGAUACCCUGGUAUUCCACGCCGUAAACGAUGAUGGCUAACCGCCGGCGACACACUGUCGGUGGCCAAACGAAAGCGAUAAGCCAUCCACCUGGGGAGUACGUCGGCAACGAUGCAACUCAAAUGAAUUGACGG
RNAcentral lists this ribosomal RNA (892 nucleotides) under uncultured Bacteroidota bacterium. RNAcentral's name for it is "bacterial SSU rRNA". It matches the Rfam family "Bacterial small subunit ribosomal RNA", at positions 28 to 916 of the family's 1533-position model. The record is from RNAcentral. Lineage: Bacteria; Pseudomonadati; Bacteroidota.